UGGGGAAUUUUGGACAAUGGGCGAAAGCCUGAUCCAGCAAUGCCGCGUGUGUGAAGAAGGCCUUCGGGUUGUAAAGCACUUUUGUCCGGAAAGAAAUCCUUGGCUCUAAUACAGUCGGGGGAUGACGGUACCGGAAGAAUAAGCACCGGCUAACUACGUGCCAGCAGCCGCGGUAAUACGUAGGGUGCAAGCGUUAAUCGGAAUUACUGGGCGUAAAGCGUGCGCAGGCGGUUUGCUAAGACCGAUGUGAAAUCCCCGGGCUCAACCUGGGAACUGCAUUGGUGACUGGCAGGCUAGAGUAUGGCAGAGGGGGGUAGAAUUCCACGUGUAGCAGUGAAAUGCGUAGAGAUGUGGAGGAAUACCGAUGGCGAAGGCAGCCCCCUGGGCAAUACUGACGCUCAUGCACGAAAGCGUGGGGAGCAAACAGGAUUAGAUACCCUGGUAGUCCACGCCCUAAACGAUGUCAACUAGUUGUUGGGGAUUCAUUUCCUAGUAACGUAGCUAACGCGUGAAGUUGACCGCCUGGGGAGUACGGUCGCAAGAUUAAAACUUAAAUGAAUUGACGGGGUCAUAGCUGUUUCCU
RNAcentral lists this ribosomal RNA (583 nucleotides) under uncultured bacterium. RNAcentral describes it as "partial 16S ribosomal RNA". It matches the Rfam family "Bacterial small subunit ribosomal RNA", at positions 355 to 1375 of the family's 1533-position model. The record is from RNAcentral.